GCGAGAACAAGAAAGGAAAAAUUCUACUGUCCAUGUGGGGGAAUCUGAAACAACUUCUCAUAAUACUCCCUUUGUUUCGAAAAUUCCCUAGUCCCGGGGGAACCCUAGCAGCCGCCGCCAGGCCCCCCCAACCCCGCCCUCUCCCGCGCCGCCGCCGCCGGAGGGCCGGGCGGCGAAGCCGCGCCGGGCCCUGGGAUGGUGGCUGUUCUCCCUCGACGCGUCGCCCCGCGCUGCCGUCCCCGUCCACCUCCGCCCAUCCACGCGCCGCCGGCGACGAAGGGCUGGCUGGCGCGGCCGCGCCGGGCCCUUGGCCUCCUCCGACGCGCACCUCCCCUCCGUUCGCGCUAUGGCGUCAGCCCCACCUGCCCCCUUCCCCUCGAGCUACGGAUCUCCGGUGCCCUUGGUUGCCCGGCGGCGGCUGCCCCUGCAGCUCGCCCGGCCGGGAGUGCGGCUGGCGUGCCAUCCCCUCGCGCGCUUCCCAGCCUGCAGGUGCGGCUUUGGCCCUGGAAUUCAUGGACAUGCGCCCCCUCCCCUGUCCAUGAUUGUCCAGCGCGGUUCCAGAUCUGGCCCCCGCAUGAGCUGCGUCCCUUCUAGCUCCUCCGGCUUGUCAGCAUCUUGGUGGCUUCGCAACCCCCCCUGCAGAUGUCUUUGUUGGCCGGUCCAUCCCGGUGCGGCUCCGGCUUCGGCGUGUUCCUGGAGCUGCGUCUUCUUCCGGCUCCUUUGGCAUGUCGGCGCCCCUGUUGCUCCGGUCCCGGCGGCCCGGAUUUGCGUUCUCUCCAAAUCUUGGCUUGUCCGGGUCCCCCGGCCACCUUGG
RNAcentral lists this ribosomal RNA (814 nucleotides) under Triticum aestivum (bread wheat). Its description in RNAcentral is "partial small subunit ribosomal RNA". The record is from RNAcentral. Lineage: Eukaryota; Viridiplantae; Streptophyta; Magnoliopsida; Poales; Poaceae.